RNAcentral lists this long non-coding RNA (609 nucleotides) under Struthio camelus australis. RNAcentral describes it as "lncRNA (ENSSCUG00000000486.1)". The record is from RNAcentral. Lineage: Eukaryota; Metazoa; Chordata; Aves; Struthioniformes; Struthionidae.
AUGGGCUUUGCUGGGAGCUGCUGGACCCUUUGCUCCAUCCUGCUGCUUCUCGGAGGAAACCUGGGUGUCCUCAUCAAAGCCCCUCAGGAUUCGGUCAAUGGCACUGUGGGCCACUCCGUGCUCCUGCCCGUCUCCUACAAAUUCACAAACUCCUCUUGCUUCCCACUGUCGUUUCACUGGACGUUCAGUAACCGCUCGGACGCGCUCAUCACCUGCACGGUGCUGAACUGCUCCCUGAGCGCGGAGGGGGCUCCCAAGCACUGCUUUGCAAAGCAUUUCCCACACGCCGCGUACCGAGGUCGCGUUGUGCUUUUCCCUGAGAACGCGUCCCUGCUGCUCCGGGACCUGCAGCUCAGCGACGGCGGGGUGUACAGCGUCACCUUCAAGCAGCAGAUCCAAACCAGGCACAUCACCUUAACUGUGUAUGGGCAUCAUUUCACCUCUGAAGACGAUAAUACCUGUGCAAUUUUUCAGAAGACAUCUAGAGUUAUAAAGCAGCAAGAGUCCUCCAGCCAUGAUGAGUCCCACAUGGAGAACAAGCUGAGAAGGGAUAUAUGCACAGUUUACGCACUGAUUGGUGAUGACCAGACACAGCCCAGAAUGAUGUGA